Molecule: ribosomal RNA, 367 nt
Filed under: uncultured bacterium
Lineage: Bacteria
Description: partial 16S ribosomal RNA
Rfam family: Bacterial small subunit ribosomal RNA
Source: RNAcentral
CCUACGGGUGGCUGCAGUAGGGAAUAUUGCUCAAUGGGGGAAACCCUGAAGCAGCAACGCCGCGUGGAGGAUGAAGGUUUUCGGAUUGUAAACUCCUUUUGUUAGAGAAGAUAAUGACGGUAUCUAACGAAUAAGCACCGGCUAACUCCGUGCCAGCAGCCGCUGUAAUACGGAGGGUGCAAGCGUUACUCGGAAUCACUGGGCGUAAAGGGCGCGUAGGCGGGUUAGCAAGUCAGAUGGUAAAUCCUUUGGCUUAACCAUAGAACUGCAUUUGAAACUGUUAUUCUAGAGUAUGGUAGAGGUAGGUGGAAUUCCUGGUGUAGCGGUGAAAUGCGUAGAGAUCAAGAAGAAUACUCAUUGCGAAGGC